GGGGUAGACAAGACAAUGGAUGACAAAGGUUUAAAACUCGGCAUUCACGUUGUUGUUUUUCUUUGUGCAAAAAUUAUUUUAUGGGGUGUUGUCCAACUUGACUCUUUUUCACUCAAUUUUUUUCUUCUUUUGAGUAUCACAUUAAUGCAUGAGUCUUUGACUUAGGCAAGUGCUUAUACUUCAUUUCUAUUUUUCAUUUCUUUUCUCUUUUUUUCGGUAGAAGCAGAUGUUUCUACACACUUUUUAUUUUCUUUUUGUUGCACUUUCCCUUUUUCAAAAUUUCUUAUAAGGAUCACCACCCCAAACUUAUCUUUUUGCACGAAUUUUACACUACAAUAGUCAUGCCGAGCGAG
This 353-nucleotide long non-coding RNA is filed under the name Lathyrus oleraceus (garden pea). RNAcentral describes it as "Pisum sativum (pea) long non-coding RNA (PSAT_LNC019095)". The record is from RNAcentral. Lineage: Eukaryota; Viridiplantae; Streptophyta; Magnoliopsida; Fabales; Fabaceae.